RNAcentral lists this unclassified non-coding RNA (269 nucleotides) under Hevea brasiliensis (rubber tree). The record is from RNAcentral. Lineage: Eukaryota; Viridiplantae; Streptophyta; Magnoliopsida; Malpighiales; Euphorbiaceae.
UGCAUCUUUCAAAAUUACUUCGCAUAUGAAUCAACUCCAAGGCUUUCCUGAGCCAUUUAACCCCACCAAUUAAAGAGCUCCACAGAGAACUAGAAACACAUGUAAUAGAGAGAUUCUCUGAAGCCUCCAACAAGCUCUCAACAUCCUCAAAGGAAGGAGCAGCAUAGCACAAAGAAAGGGCCCUAUUGCACCAUUGCAGCAUAGAACAAGCAUUCUGAAGUUUUGGAAUCUCAAGGAAGUCAAAACCAAGAGAUAGACCAGCUUUUGUG